CCUACGGGAGGCAGCAGUGGGGAAUAUUGCACAAUGGGGGAAACCCUGAUGCAGCGACGCCGCGUGAGUGAAGAAGUAUUUCGGUAUGUAAAGCUCUAUCAGCAGGGAAGAAGAAAGACGGUACCUGACUAAGAAGCCCCGGCUAACUACGUGCCAGCAGCCGCGGUAAUACGUAGGGGGCAAGCGUUAUCCGGAUUUACUGGGUGUAAAGGGAGCGUAGACGGCUGUGCAAGUCUGAAGUGAAAGCCCAGGGCUCAACCCUGGGACUGCUUUGGAAACUGUGGAGCUAGAGUGCUGGAGAGGUAAGUGGAAUUCCUAGUGUAGCGGUGAAAUGCGUAGAUAUUAGGAGGAACACCAGUGGCGAAGGCGGCUUACUGGACAUUAACUGACGCUGAGGCACGAAGGCCAGGGGAGCGAAAGGGAUUAGAUACCCCAGUAGUC
This 441-nucleotide ribosomal RNA is filed under the name uncultured bacterium. RNAcentral describes it as "partial 16S ribosomal RNA". It matches the Rfam family "Bacterial small subunit ribosomal RNA", at positions 338 to 795 of the family's 1533-position model. The record is from RNAcentral.